Long non-coding RNA from Daphnia pulex (common water flea), 950 nucleotides. RefSeq lists it as uncharacterized. The transcript is spliced from 3 exons. Lineage: Eukaryota; Metazoa; Arthropoda; Branchiopoda; Diplostraca; Daphniidae. The record is from RefSeq and is a predicted model, not a curated record.
GGUAUUGCAAACGUAUCACCACCACAUGAAGUAAUGUGUAGUCAUCCCGUUGUUCAACUGUGAAGCAUAUGCAUAAUAUUGAAUGGAUCAGAAAUAAAUCAUCAGCUGUUAUUUAAUUAACGUGCAGUCAUCCUUUUCCAACAGUGAAUUAGUUGCAUUAUAUUGAAGGUUGCAGGUACCUCACAUUCGGUAUCACCCCAACAGCAACGAGCAAUAAGUUUCCCAACUAACUAUCUCCAAGAUAACGAUUGCAGUGAUAAGCGCCAAGUAAGCCUUUCUGGUUAGUCAUUUUUGCUUGCUGAUGAUGCUUUGUUUUUAAGAUGAUUAAGCGUAAACUGAAAGUAUUUGUUGGUAAGCGACAAACAGCACGAAGAAUUAGAUUAGCUAUCACUGAACAAACGAAUGAGAAUUCUAACGAAGUUACUGACAAUCCUCCGGAUAUCAAACGUCAUAAUGUUGACCAGGCAUCUGGUAUUAAUGUACUAGACAAUAGUGAUGCCGAAAUAGUAGAUUAUGAUGUUCUAGACAGUGAUUGCGAGGAUUCCGACGAAAGUCUGUCACUUGAACUUGGUGCCAGAACUUCUACUGACGAAGAAAGUAUUGACGAUUCUGAUUUAAGUGAUACAUCCGAUGCAUUUGACUUUGAUUAUGAAGGUUCUUACUGCGAUGCAACUGAUUUUGACGUCGAAUCAGUGAGCGACGACGACCAAGAAAAAGAUCCCUUUUAUUGGGAUUAUUUCGAAGGGAAUGAUAAUUUAUGGGAGAAUAAGGAGCGUCAAGAACUAUUUAGGAGUCGUCUUUCACAUUGGGUCGUCGAAACAAAUGUCCCCAGGAGUAGUGUUGACAAAUUGUUGGCAGUUUUAAGAACUGAGAAAGAUUUUUCAUUUCUUUCAAAGUCUUAUAAAACACUUUUAAAAACGAAACGAAAAGUAAAUACAAUCGAAGUAAAC